RNAcentral lists this long non-coding RNA (461 nucleotides) under Daucus carota (carrot). Its description in RNAcentral is "long non-coding RNA (DCAR_LNC003301)". The record is from RNAcentral. Lineage: Eukaryota; Viridiplantae; Streptophyta; Magnoliopsida; Apiales; Apiaceae.
UUUCAAAUCAUUUUCGAGAGUUUUAACGUCUGCAAGAUCUUGUACUGUAAUAGAUAAGAUUAAACAAUCACAAGUAGCAACACCAAAUACGAUGGCGAUAAAAUCAGCAAUUGAUGGGCAAAUUCUCAAGCGCUACAACCGGAGCAGCGGAAUGACGGUGGACGUGAAGAGGACAACGGACAUGAAAGAGAGGAAGUUGAAGGCGGAGGCUGUGAUGGGCAAAUUUUCAGGCGCUACAAUCGGAGCAACAAAGAGACGGCGGACAUGGAGGUGGAUGUGAAGGAGGUGGCAGACAUUGGAGAGGGAGAGAGGGAGGCAGACGCCAGACGGUAGAGGCGGAGCCGGAGAAGAUAGAAGUGGAGGUGGGGUUGGUGGAGAUGGGAUUGUCAGAGAAAUUAAUGGUAUUUGCUUUAGAAUUUAGUUAUAUUUUAGGUGGAUUUUUAAUUUGUAGAAUAAGCGAG